RNAcentral lists this small nuclear RNA (171 nucleotides) under Propithecus coquereli (Coquerel's sifaka). RNAcentral describes it as "U2 spliceosomal RNA (ENSPCOG00000005369.1)". It matches the Rfam family "U2 spliceosomal RNA". From Rfam's summary of the family: U2 is a small nuclear RNA (snRNA) component of the spliceosome (involved in pre-mRNA splicing). Complementary binding between U2 snRNA (in an area lying towards the 5' end but 3' to hairpin I) and the branchpoint sequence (BPS) of the intron results the bulging out of an unpaired adenosine, on the BPS, which initiates a nucleophilic attack at the intronic 5' splice site, thus starting the first of two transesterification reactions that mediate splicing. The record is from Rfam by way of RNAcentral. Lineage: Eukaryota; Metazoa; Chordata; Mammalia; Primates; Indriidae.
AUCACUUCUCGGCCUUUUGGCUAAGAUCAAGUGUAGUAUCUGUUCUUAUCAGUUUAAUAUCUGAUUUAAUUGUUUAAAAUUCCAGAGAAUCCUCUUUAAUUAAAUUUCUGUGAAGGCUGGAAUUUCUAAAUUGUGCCCUUUGUUCAGAUCCCUCUGAAAACAAGAAUAAUU